RNAcentral lists this ribosomal RNA (380 nucleotides) under uncultured bacterium. RNAcentral describes it as "bacterial SSU rRNA". It matches the Rfam family "Bacterial small subunit ribosomal RNA", at positions 30 to 410 of the family's 1533-position model. The record is from RNAcentral.
UGAACGCUGGCGGCAUGCCUUACACAUGCAAGUCGAACGGCAGCACGGGAGUAAUCCUGGUGCGAGUGGCGGAACGGGUGAGUAAUAUAUCGGAACGUGCCCAGUCGUGGGGGAUAACGCAGCGAAAGCUGUGCUAAUACCGCAUACGAUCUAUGGAUGAAAGCGGGGGACUCGUAAGGGCCUUGCGCGAUUGGAGCGGCCGAUAUCAGAUUAGCUAGUUGGUGGGGUAAAGGCUCACCAAGGCGACGAUCUGUAGCUGGUCUGAGAGGACGACCAGCCACACUGGGACUGAGACACGGCCCAGACUCCUACGGGAGGCAGCAGUGGGGAAUUUUGGACAAUGGGCGCAAGCCUGAUCCAGCCAUGCCGCGUGCGGGAAG